GGGCCGUUAGCUCAGUCUGGUUAGAGCACCGGACUUUUAAUCCGGGUGUCCAGGGUUCGAAUCCCUGACGGCCCACCA
Molecule: transfer RNA, 78 nt
Filed under: Dehalococcoidia bacterium
Lineage: Bacteria; Bacillati; Chloroflexota; Dehalococcoidia
Description: tRNA-Lys
Rfam family: tRNA
About the family: Transfer RNA (tRNA) molecules are approximately 80 nucleotides in length.
Source: RNAcentral